UGCGUAGGCGGCCGCUUAAGUAGGGUGUGAAAUGUCCCGGCUCAACCGGGGGAAUGGCGCUCUAAACUGGGUGGCUCGAGUGAGAUAGAGGUGUGCGGAACUUCCGGUGGAGCGGUGAAAUGUGUUGAUAUCGGAGGGAACACCAUUGGCGAAAGCGGCACACUGGGUCUUAACUGACGCUGAGGCACGAAAGCCAGGGGAGGCAAACG
This 209-nucleotide ribosomal RNA is filed under the name uncultured bacterium. RNAcentral's name for it is "partial 16S ribosomal RNA". It matches the Rfam family "Bacterial small subunit ribosomal RNA", at positions 568 to 775 of the family's 1533-position model. The record is from RNAcentral.